RNAcentral lists this long non-coding RNA (1363 nucleotides) under Takifugu rubripes (torafugu). RNAcentral's name for it is "lncRNA (ENSTRUG00000032442.1)". The record is from RNAcentral. Lineage: Eukaryota; Metazoa; Chordata; Actinopteri; Tetraodontiformes; Tetraodontidae.
AUGGACCAAAUUGAGAGCAGUCUCAUUCAGAAAGGUGUGAAGUGGACGUUCAAUCCUCCAGCUGGUGCCCACCAUGGAGGCAUCUGGGAGCGCAUAAUAAGAAUGGUGAAAAGGGUCUUGUCCUCAAUAACAAACCAGCAGUCUUUGGAUGAUGAAGGUCUAGUCACAGUGAUGUGCGAGGUUGAAUCCAUCCUAAACAGCCGUCCCUUGACAACCGUUUCUAGUGACCCCAAUGACUUGGAACCACUGACACCUAAUCACCUAAUGCAGCUUAAGGUCCAGCCCUUGCUUCCACCAGGAAUAUUCAAACAGGAAGAUGUGUACGCCAGAAGGCGAUGGCGACAGAUACAGUAUAUCGCAGAUCUUUUCUGGACACGAUGGUUACAGGAAUAUGUUCCACUCAUGCAAGAACGAUCCAAAUGGUCCCGCAUCCGGCUGAACUUCUCUAUGGGAGACGUAGUAGUGAUCGCUGAUGCUGCAGCGCCACGAGGCUCAUGGGUGCUUGGAGGAGUCAUCGAAGCCAUAACAGAAUCUGAGGGCCUUGUUCGCUCUGUGAGAUUGCAAACUAGAACCAACCAGCUCCUAAGGCCAAUCAGCAAGAUCUACUUGUUGGUAAAAGGUUCUUUCUCUUUCGGCCCAAAUCAAGUCCAUUGCUGGAAAGCUUCUUACAGUAGUUUAUGAAAACAGGUAAGUGUAAUGCUUUUUCUUUAAACAUCUCAAACUUCUGGAGUGUAUUGAUGUAUUAUUUGUUUUGAUUAUUAACAUAUAUUAUCUAUAGUCCACAGGAGGAAGUUGUUGUGUGUUGUGACUCUGUGCGGCGGCUGCCUCCUCCAAAUUUCUCCUGUAACGUGGCUGUUGGAGAUGAGGUGGAGGUGAGAACUACCAGUAUAACUGAUGAUUCAGUUUUUAUGUCCAUUGUCUCACAGGUUUUCUCCAGGCUUGGUGAUCAGGAACCAUUUGGCUGGUGGCUGGCACAGAUCAAAAUGAUUAUAGGAGAGGUAAUUCAGAUGUUGCUGCAGAAUCAGAAGCCCUUACUCAGAAGCUGGAGUGGAUUUUUUUUUUUAAAAAGCACAAAAAAUAAUUCAGCUUCACUACUAAUGAUUCAUUUUCAGAGGGAUGGUAAUAAAAAAGCUUCCUUUCGUACACUUUUCCCAGUGGUAUCUGAUUGAAUACAUGGAUGGAUUCCAGGAGUUUGUCAAAUCAGGGUCCAUCAGGAAUAAGAAUACGGACACUUUCUGCACCGUAGAAAGGCUCAUGCAGAUCUUCUGCUUAGAAGAGCCAAGAGUCAGACUGCAGGUGAGCGCUCAGAGCGUACGCUCCACAUACUGUAGGUGACACGAAGAAGUGCACAAGCAGAUGUGAA